RNAcentral lists this ribosomal RNA (2338 nucleotides) under Escherichia coli. RNAcentral's name for it is "partial 23S ribosomal RNA". It matches the Rfam family "Bacterial large subunit ribosomal RNA", at positions 606 to 2925 of the family's 2925-position model. The record is from RNAcentral. Lineage: Bacteria; Pseudomonadati; Pseudomonadota; Gammaproteobacteria; Enterobacterales; Enterobacteriaceae.
UUUUGUAUAAUGGGUCAGCGACUUAUAUUCUGUAGCAAGGUUAACCGAAUAGGGGAGCCGAAGGGAAACCGAGUCUUAACUGGGCGUUAAGUUGCAGGGUAUAGACCCGAAACCCGGUGAUCUAGCCAUGGGCAGGUUGAAGGUUGGGUAACACUAACUGGAGGACCGAACCGACUAAUGUUGAAAAAUUAGCGGAUGACUUGUGGCUGGGGGUGAAAGGCCAAUCAAACCGGGAGAUAGCUGGUUCUCCCCGAAAGCUAUUUAGGUAGCGCCUCGUGAAUUCAUCUCCGGGGGUAGAGCACUGUUUCGGCAAGGGGGUCAUCCCGACUUACCAACCCGAUGCAAACUGCGAAUACCGGAGAAUGUUAUCACGGGAGACACACGGCGGGUGCUAACGUCCGUCGUGAAGAGGGAAACAACCCAGACCGCCAGCUAAGGUCCCAAAGUCAUGGUUAAGUGGGAAACGAUGUGGGAAGGCCCAGACAGCCAGGAUGUUGGCUUAGAAGCAGCCAUCAUUUAAAGAAAGCGUAAUAGCUCACUGGUCGAGUCGGCCUGCGCGGAAGAUGUAACGGGGCUAAACCAUGCACCGAAGCUGCGGCAGCGACACUGUGUGUUGUUGGGUAGGGGAGCGUUCUGUAAGCCUGUGAAGGUGUGCUGUGAGGCAUGCUGGAGGUAUCAGAAGUGCGAAUGCUGACAUAAGUAACGAUAAAGCGGGUGAAAAGCCCGCUCGCCGGAAGACCAAGGGUUCCUGUCCAACGUUAAUCGGGGCAGGGUGAGUCGACCCCUAAGGCGAGGCCGAAAGGCGUAGUCGAUGGGAAACAGGUUAAUAUUCCUGUACUUGGUGUUACUGCGAAGGGGGGACGGAGAAGGCUAUGUUGGCCGGGCGACGGUUGUCCCGGUUUAAGCGUGUAGGCUGGUUUUCCAGGCAAAUCCGGAAAAUCAAGGCUGAGGCGUGAUGACGAGGCACUACGGUGCUGAAGCAACAAAUGCCCUGCUUCCAGGAAAAGCCUCUAAGCAUCAGGUAACAUCAAAUCGUACCCCAAACCGACACAGGUGGUCAGGUAGAGAAUACCAAGGCGCUUGAGAGAACUCGGGUGAAGGAACUAGGCAAAAUGGUGCCGUAACUUCGGGAGAAGGCACGCUGAUAUGUAGGUGAAGUCCCUCGCGGAUGGAGCUGAAAUCAGUCGAAGAUACCAGCUGGCUGCAACUGUUUAUUAAAAACACAGCACUGUGCAAACACGAAAGUGGACGUAUACGGUGUGACGCCUGCCCGGUGCCGGAAGGUUAAUUGAUGGGGUCAGCGCAAGCGAAGCUCUUGAUCGAAGCCCCGGUAAACGGCGGCCGUAACUAUAACGGUCCUAAGGUAGCGAAAUUCCUUGUCGGGUAAGUUCCGACCUGCACGAAUGGCGUAAUGAUGGCCAGGCUGUCUCCACCCGAGACUCAGUGAAAUUGAACUCGCUGUGAAGAUGCAGUGUACCCGCGGCAAGACGGAAAGACCCCGUGAACCUUUACUAUAGCUUGACACUGAACAUUGAGCCUUGAUGUGUAGGAUAGGUGGGAGGCUUUGAAGUGUGGACGCCAGUCUGCAUGGAGCCGACCUUGAAAUACCACCCUUUAAUGUUUGAUGUUCUAACGUGGACCCGUGAUCCGGGUUGCGGACAGUGUCUGGUGGGUAGUUUGACUGGGGCGGUCUCCUCCUAAAGAGUAACGGAGGAGCACGAAGGUUGGCUAAUCCUGGUCGGACAUCAGGAGGUUAGUGCAAUGGCAUAAGCCAGCUUGACUGCGAGCGUGACGGCGCGAGCAGGUGCGAAAGCAGGUCAUAGUGAUCCGGUGGUUCUGAAUGGAAGGGCCAUCGCUCAACGGAUAAAAGGUACUCCGGGGAUAACAGGCUGAUACCGCCCAAGAGUUCAUAUCGACGGCGGUGUUUGGCACCUCGAUGUCGGCUCAUCACAUCCUGGGGCUGAAGUAGGUCCCAAGGGUAUGGCUGUUCGCCAUUUAAAGUGGUACGCGAGCUGGGUUUAGAACGUCGUGAGACAGUUCGGUCCCUAUCUGCCGUGGGCGCUGGAGAACUGAGGGGGGCUGCUCCUAGUACGAGAGGACCGGAGUGGACGCAUCACUGGUGUUCGGGUUGUCAUGCCAAUGGCACUGCCCGGUAGCUAAAUGCGGAAGAGAUAAGUGCUGAAAGCAUCUAAGCACGAAACUUGCCCCGAGAUGAGUUCUCCCUGACCCUUUAAGGGUCCUGAAGGAACGUUGAAGACGACGACGUUGAUAGGCCGGGUGUGUAAGCGCAGCGAUGCGUUGAGCUAACCGGUACUAAUGAACCGUGAGGCUUAACCUU